RNA transcript from Corythoichthys intestinalis (scribbled pipefish), 3385 nucleotides. It is a transcript of the gene named lactate dehydrogenase D, with no coding region annotated. NCBI's taxonomy places the organism in Eukaryota, Metazoa, Chordata, Actinopteri, Syngnathiformes, Syngnathidae. The record is from RefSeq and is a predicted model, not a curated record. The transcript has 11 exons.
GAUUAGCAUGCAUACGUUGAUGUGAACGGGACGACAACGGUGGCAAGCCAUGUCUCUUCUUCUUGCAGCAAGUCAACGACUUUGUUGUUACUGUCACAGCGUUAAAACAACUUUCAGAAGUGCUUCUCUGGAAAGUGCACUUUCUACAUUCAGGUCAAUAUGCGGAGAAGAUGGAGUGUCACUAGGAACUGCUGUCAGAGAGCAACAUGGCAAAGAUGAAUCUGUGCACAGAUGCCGUCCCCCAGAUGUAGUCGUUUUUCCUCGUUGUGUGGAGGAGGUGAGCGCCGUGGCGAAAGUCUGCCAUGACAAACACCUUCCCAUAAUCCCCUUUGGUACUGGAACUGGCCUGGAGGGAGGUGUAGGAGCAGUCAAGGGUGGCGUAUGCUUCAGCUUAAGGAAUAUGAACCAGAUUUUGGAUCUCCACCAGGAAGAUUUUGACGUAGCAGUUGAGCCUGGUGUGACCAGGAAAGCCCUAAAUGCCUACCUGCGAGACACUGGACUGUGGUUUCCUGUUGAUCCUGGAGCUGAUGCCUCGCUGUGUGGGAUGGCAGCCUCUAGUGCAUCUGGUACCAAUGCAGUUCGAUAUGGAACUAUGCGAGAAAAUGUCAUUAACCUGGAGGUGGUACUUGCCAAUGGUAGUAUUAUUCAUACAGCUGGCAAGGGCCGGCGUCCCAGGAAGACUUCAGCGGGCUAUAACUUGACAAAUCUGUUUGUCGGAUCAGAGGGCACUCUGGGAAUUAUCACUAAGGCAACUUUGCGCCUUUAUGGUAUUCCAGAAGCCAUGGUGUCAGCAGUCUGCUCGUUUCCUUCUGUAAAGGCUGCUGUGGAUAGCACUGUGCAGAUUCUUCAAGCUGGGGUUGCCAUCGCACGCAUUGAGUUUCUCGAUGAUGUGAUGAUCAAUGCAUGCAACAAGUUCAGCUCUCUGUCAUAUCCUGUUACCCCAACUCUGUUCCUGGAGUUCCACGGUUCCGAACAGAGUCUUGCAGAACAAGUCAGCACAACUGAGGAAAUCACACAGAAUAAUAGUGGCUCUCAUUUUCAAUGGGCUAGAGAUGCAGAAAAACGAAACCGGUUGUGGAAAGCUCGUCAUGAUGCCUGGUAUGCUGCUCAGGCUCUGAGGCCUGGUUGCAAGGCCUACUCUACAGAUGUCUGCGUUCCAAUUUCCCAUUUGCCUCAAAUCAUUGUGGAGACGAAGGCGGAUCUGAUUGAGAAUAACCUUACAGGUGAGCACAGAGAAGAGAACAUGUAAAGCUAUAUAAAUGGCUUGAGAAGGACCAGUCAGCCCGUCGAGGGGGAACUAUUCACAACGAGGAAAAUGCGACGAAGAGAGCUGCAAAAUGUCAUUGUUUCUGUCUCUUUACUUCAAUAUUUUUACAGGAUAUUCUUUUUAUCCAAGUAUUUUCCCCAAUUGCUAAAUAAAUGGCAUGGUCAUGACAAAUAACAGUCUUGUGCUAAAUGGAAUAUGAAAUAAUAAAAAUGCAUUUAUUCAGGACGACAUGGCAAAAUUACUCCAAAAUGGUCAAAACUUUCGACUUCACCUUUACUGUCGCACCUCCCGAACGAUAUUUUAUGACACCUAAAUCGGACAUAUGCCAUUUCCCUUCCCCGGCUUCAGAGAAUGUAAACAAACCAAAAGGCGUGACAGCUAGCCGACAUGCUAACCCGAACCGAGUGAUGUUUCAAAGUCUUCGAAGCGGAAAAUCACACAUAACUAGCCUGGAUUUAUUGACAUGACGACUGGGUUGUUGAUUGUCUUCGCGGAACGGCAAACCGCCCAGCGGAGAGCAAUUUACAGUUCGUUCCCCGGAGGAGGGUGGCUGCAAUUGUUGUGCAGCUAACGUGCUGCAAAUGUGCAUGAGGAGAGCUUUUUACGUGCCUAUCAAUGAUCAAACGUAAGUAGUCCUUUAUUUAAAGAAAGUUUGUUGUGUUUACUUUUAAUCGAUGUAUUCAUAUUUGACACAAUAGAAAACAAGAUGUUUACUCACUUCCUCGUAAGUCCAAUGGUCCCACAGUAAAUAUCCACGGUGAAUGGGAACCUUUUAAAACUUCAAAAAGGCGCAUACGCUUCUCUGUCAUACAGAAUGAUUUUUCUGCAGCCGUCUGGCUGUCGUCAGCCACGCGGUGCCAUCAGGUACACCACGCAAAAUACAUUAGUAGCCGAGCCGUUACAUUAUUGCAGAUAUUAUUAUUAUUAUUAUUACUACUAUUAUUAUUAUUCCCAGUUUUUAUUCAUAAUUUAUUAGUUUUGCUCUUUGUAAUUGCUAUUUGCAACAGUAAUAGCAGUAUUUAUUAAAGAUUUAGUGUAGGUUUUUGGGCAGUGGAAUGAAUGAAUGGAAUCAUAAUGUGUUCUUAUGGGAAAAUCCUGCUCGACAUACGACCAUUUCGACUUACAAAGAAAGUUCUGGAACGAAUUAACUUCGUAUGUAGAGGUACCACUACAUGUCAAACUCCCAUGUGGCACAAUUAGAACUGUUCAGACCAUAGGGACACUCAGAUUCCUAUUUUCUGGGUCUAAGCAGCUGAACAGGGAAAAAAAAAAAGAAGAGAUUUGGAUCUUAAAAUUAAUAGUAAGUUGUAUUAUACAAUUUCUUUUUCAUUUUCAUUUUUUCCAUAUAUUUACACAUUUUAUUAAAAACAAAAACAUAACUAUUGUUCUUUUUAUUUCAUUUAAACAAUUUUCUUUUUUAAUUUUUGUAAAUGUUUAUUUGUAUUUCUUGACAUUUUUUUAAUUAGAAAAACGUGGGAAACUAUAUGUUAUCCUUUUCAUUCAUUUAUUAUUAUUAUUAUUUUUUUAAUAAUAAGGGGGGUUAAAUAUUCUCUUUUUACUUUUUUAAAGUGUGGGGGUGUAGUUAUUUAUUUAUUUAUUUAAUAUUCAUUUAUCCAUGGCUUUAUGAGUGAUGAACAUGAAUUUGAUGCACGAUUUACUUUUGCGGGUCACACAGGAUAAUGUGGCAUGCCGAAUCAGGCCCUGGGGCCUGGAGUUUGACACCUAUAUUUUAGUCAAACGGUCUGAAAACUAUUCCACAAAGGGUCGCAGUGAGUGUAGGUUUUCAUUCUAACAGAUUCAGAGGACACCUUUUCUGUCAUCUAGCAUCUUACAAGUCAGGUGCUACUUGUUUCCGCAGAGACCUGAUUGCAUCUCAAACAAUGGACUGGCAGUUUUUUUUCGGUAAUUAAAAGAAGGGGGGGAAAAGAGUUUAACAUUUUGCAUGAUGUAAUGUUCACACAGGUCCCAUUGCGGGUCAUGUAGGUGAUGGUAACUUCCAUUGCCUGAUGGUAGUUGAUCCUAAUGACACCGAAGAACUGCAAAGAGUCCAUCUAUUCAGUGAGAGGCUGGCAAGGCGCGCCUUAGCCAUGAAUGGUACAUGCACAGGGGAGCACGGUG